Molecule: ribosomal RNA, 173 nt
Filed under: uncultured soil bacterium
Lineage: Bacteria
Description: partial 16S ribosomal RNA
Rfam family: Bacterial small subunit ribosomal RNA
Source: RNAcentral
UACUCCUACGGGAGGCAGCAGUGGGGAAUCUUGCGCAAUGGGCGAAAGCCUGACGCAGCCAUGCCGCGUGAAUGAUGAAGGUCUUAGGAUUGUAAAAUUCUUUCACCGGGGACGAUAAUGACGGUACCCGGAGAAGGAGCCCCGGCUAACUUCGUGCCAGCAGCCGCGGUAAU